UAUUCUGGGGUUUAAGAACUGUAUCCUGCCCACACUCUUUUCUGUAAGUGACAAGCACCAGGGGUGUCUCUAUUGUCUCGGCAAGGCUCAUAUCGCAGCAUAUUGUUUGAUCUGCACGUUGUUCCCACCUCAGAGCUCGAAAGCUCCACCUGUCAGUUCCUUAUAGAGGAAGCAAUGCAGCCACAUACACAUUCAGAUGUGGGACUGUUGGAACCGCUGGUACAGUGAUCAACAUCAGCGGUGAGCAUCCUUCCAACUACUUCCCAGGACCAGCCAGCCCCACGGAUGCUACCUCAGGUGUUUCUAUUGGCACCCCUCGGAUUCCCAGAUGUUUGGAGCUUCGCCUCUCAGCAGCAGAACUGGUGCUUCCCUACCCAUCCUCUCCACUCCUCUCCGGACCUCUGCUCACCUGCAAGGUCCCCACUCUGGCAGAUGAUCACCCACAGUACCAAGACCUGCUCCAGCAGAGGGCAGUGGUCCUGGAGAUCCCACUGGAGAAGAUUCAGUACUGGCAACACCAGCUCCCGGACAUUCUUCAGCCUCCAGGGACUAUCUGGGGUGGCACUCCCCAUUAAUGAGGCCAUCCUCCAUUCAACACAGGUGCUGUGGCACACCCCAGCCUCCUCUGCCCCCUGCCUAAGAGGACAGAGCAGAGGGCCUAGUUUGAAGCUCUUGAGAUGAAGGACACCUACUUCCACAUCGACAUUCACCCGGCCCACCGGAAAUUUCUCCACUUCCAGGUGGGACACCACUACUACCAAUUCCGAGUCCUCCCUUUUGUCAUAGUGACAGCUCUGUGAGUUUUCAUGAAGGUAAACCGUGUUUUCAAGAAGGACUGAAUUGAUAUUUAACAUUUGCAGAAAUGCAGAUGCUUAGAAGAUAUUAUAGACCUCAUUCUCGUCUUGCUUACAUAGAUUUUACUGGUGUAACUCCAUUGGCUUCAGUGUAAGUGAGAUCAAAGUCCUACUGAAGUCCUAGCAUGGAUGAAAGUGGUUGAUCAUUCUGCAUUCUGAGAAGUUUUAGUUUAUAAUGUGUAUAGAGAGUCUUGAUGUAUUAAUUAAAAUGUGGCUUCUUAGAUCAUAAAACCACUGAAUUCUGAACAGGACUGAUGUUGAGACUCAAUAUGAGGCAAGACAGAAUGUGCAACCAAAUAUGAAUACCCUGAGCACUAUAUUUGUGAAUUUAUAACUAUUUGGGUAAAUAGUUAAGCUUGUUAUUGUAGCUCGCCUAUAGAGUUGCCACCUAGAGAGAGAUUUUUUUGUAAUUAAUUAUAAAUACUCUAGAUAGCUUCUUCUGAAUGUUUUUAUUAACUUUUCAAUCAUCUGAAAAUAAUAAAACAUACACAGCCUAAAAUUUUUUUUCAUUCCUAUAGCAUCCUGGCUGGUGAGAAUAUAGGCACAAAUGAUAAAUAAUCUGUUUUUAAAAUGACAUCUUCUGCACAAUGAAACAUUUUUGUCUCAUGAGUUUUUAAAUGUACAUAAAAAUAAAAACUCAGAUCUGCAGAUUC
Molecule: long non-coding RNA, 1507 nt
Organism: Malaclemys terrapin pileata
Lineage: Eukaryota; Metazoa; Chordata; Testudines; Emydidae
Exons: 3
Source: RefSeq, a predicted model, not a curated record